RNAcentral lists this ribosomal RNA (490 nucleotides) under uncultured bacterium. Its description in RNAcentral is "partial 16S ribosomal RNA". It matches the Rfam family "Bacterial small subunit ribosomal RNA", at positions 28 to 507 of the family's 1533-position model. The record is from RNAcentral.
GAUGAACGCUAGCUACAGGCUUAACACAUGCAAGUCGCGGGGCAGCAUGGGGGUUGCUUGCAAUCCCCGAUGGCGACCGGCGCACGGGUGAGUAACGCGUAUCCAACCUGCCCUUCACCACGGGCUAACCCGGCGAAAGUCGGACUAAUACCGUAUGUUGUCCAUUGACGGCAUCCGAUUUGGACGCAAGUUUUGGCGGUGCUGUAUGGGGAUGCGUCCGAUUAGCUGGACGGCGGGGUGUCGGCCCUCCGUGGCGACGCUCGGUAUGGGUGCUGAGAGGGAGGUCCCCCACACUGGAACUGAGACACAGUCCAGACUGCUACGGGAGGCAGCAGUGAGGAAUAUUGGUCGAUGGGCGUAAGCCUGAACCAGCCAAGUGGCGUGCAGGAGGACGGCCCUAUGGGUUGUAAACUGCUUUUAUGCGGGGAUAAAGUGGCCCACGUGUGGGUUUUUGCAGGUACCGCAUGAAUAAGGACCGGCUAAUUCCGUG